GCAGAAGGGCCACAGCUCAGUGGCAGAGCAUCUGCUUUGCAUGCAGAAGGUCCCAAGUUCUAUCCCUGGCAUGCUGCA
This 78-nucleotide transfer RNA is filed under the name Podarcis lilfordi (Lilford's wall lizard). Its description in RNAcentral is "tRNA.Ala". The stretch from base 14 to 69 matches the Rfam family "tRNA", at positions 9 to 63 of the family's 71-position model. Rfam says of the family: Transfer RNA (tRNA) molecules are approximately 80 nucleotides in length. Their secondary structure includes four short double-helical elements and three loops (D, anti-codon, and T loops). Lineage: Eukaryota; Metazoa; Chordata; Lepidosauria; Squamata; Lacertidae. The record is from RNAcentral.